Molecule: ribosomal RNA, 583 nt
Filed under: uncultured bacterium
Lineage: Bacteria
Description: partial 16S ribosomal RNA
Rfam family: Bacterial small subunit ribosomal RNA
Source: RNAcentral
UGGGGAAUUUUGGACAAUGGGCGAAAGCCUGAUCCAGCAAUGCCGCGUGUGUGAAGAAGGCCUUCGGGUUGUAAAGCACUUUUGUCCGGAAAGAAAUCCUUGGCUCUAAUACAGUCGGGGGAUGACGGUACCGGAAGAAUAAGCACCGGCUAACUACGUGCCAGCAGCCGCGGUAAUACGUAGGGUGCAAGCGUUAAUCGGAAUUACUGGGCGUAAAGCGUGCGCAGGCGGUUUGCUAAGACCGAUGUGAAAUCCCCGGGCUCAACCUGGGAACUGCAUUGGUGACUGGCAGGCUAGAGUAUGGCAGAGGGGGGUAGAAUUCCACGUGUAGCAGUGAAAUGCGUAGAGAUGUGGAGGAAUACCGAUGGCGAGGGCAGCCCCCUGGGCCAAUACUGACGCUCAUGCACGAAAGCGUGGGGAGCAAAACAGGAUUAGAUACCCCUGGUAGUCCACGCCCUAAAACGAUGUCAACUAGUUGUUGGGGGAUUCAUUUCCUUAGUAACGUAGCUAACGCGUGAAGUUGACCGCCUGGGGAGUACGGUCGCAAGAUUAAAACUCAAAUGAAUUGACGGGGUCAUAGCUG